AAUUUAUGUAUUGUAGUUACACGUGGCAACUCUCACAUUUUUUCUUGCUAUAUUUUAAGUUGGACCUCUAGAAAUACAUCGGUGAAUAUUUGCUUUCAAUUCCAU
Long non-coding RNA from Rhagoletis zephyria (snowberry fruit fly), 105 nucleotides. RefSeq lists it as uncharacterized. Lineage: Eukaryota; Metazoa; Arthropoda; Insecta; Diptera; Tephritidae. The record is from RefSeq and is a predicted model, not a curated record.